GGGGCCGCCCUGGUUUCGACGGGGGUGAUGAGGCCAAAGUUGCAGGCCGAGGGGCUGGGAGGUCCUCGUUAAAACCCAGCACGAACAUAAUUGCCAACGACAAUUAUGACUACGCAAUGGCUGCCUAGUUAUUAGGCAAACAUUGCUUGGCGGCAUAGACCGCCACAUCCGUGCGGUGGAUGUCUGAUAAGCCGUAUCCGGGUGUCACCCCCAUCAGGCUGGCGAGAGGCCGCUGUCUGGACAGCUAAUCGCGAGAUUUUAUCCGGGCUGGUUUGCAGGACGCCCGAUCAGGGGCAAGCCCGCGAGCAAGAUGCAAAACCUGAUCUAAGCCUGUAGAUGCUUUGCGCGGAGCAUUCUCGGACGGGAGUUCGAUUCUCCCCGGCUCCACCA
This 390-nucleotide transfer-messenger RNA is filed under the name Desulfomicrobium orale. RNAcentral's name for it is "Standard tmRNA". It matches the Rfam family "transfer-messenger RNA". Rfam says of the family: Bacterial tmRNA, also known as 10Sa RNA or SsrA, is named for its dual tRNA and mRNA-like properties. RNAcentral also lists the same sequence under 1 other name. Lineage: Bacteria; Pseudomonadati; Thermodesulfobacteriota; Desulfovibrionia; Desulfovibrionales; Desulfomicrobiaceae. The record is from RNAcentral.